This 497-nucleotide ribosomal RNA is filed under the name uncultured bacterium. RNAcentral describes it as "partial 16S ribosomal RNA". It matches the Rfam family "Bacterial small subunit ribosomal RNA", at positions 28 to 507 of the family's 1533-position model. The record is from RNAcentral.
GAUGAACGCUGGCGGCGUGCCUAAUACAUGCAAGUCGAGCGAACAGACGAGGAGCUUGCUCCUCUGACGUUAGCGGCGGACGGGUGAGUAACACGUGGAUAACCUACCUAUAAGACUGGGAUAACUUCGGGAAACCGGAGCUAAUACCGGAUAACAUGUUGAACCGCAUGGUUCAACAGUGAAAGACGGUCUUUCUGUCACUUAUAGAUGGAUCCGCGCCGCAUUAGCUAGUUGGUAAGGUAACGGCUUACCAAGGCAACGAUGCGUAGCCGACCUGAGAGGGUGAUAGGCCACACUGGAACUGAGACACGGUCCAGACUCCUACGGGAGGCAGCAGUAGGGAAUCUUCCGCAAUGGGCGAAAGCCUGACGGAGCAACGCCGCGUGAGUGAAGAAGGUCUUCGGAUCGUAAAACUCUGUUAUUAGGGAAGAACAAAUGUGUAAGUAACUAUGCACGUCUUGACGGUACCUAAUCAGAAAGCCACGGCUAACUACGUG